Molecule: long non-coding RNA, 272 nt
Organism: Hibiscus syriacus
Lineage: Eukaryota; Viridiplantae; Streptophyta; Magnoliopsida; Malvales; Malvaceae
Exons: 3
Source: RefSeq, a predicted model, not a curated record
UGAUCAAGAUAGUGACGGAAGAAUCGAUUACGGUGAAUUUGUUGACAUGAUGAAGAAAGGAAAUGGUUGGAUCGGUAGACGAACCAUCCGAAACAGAACGAAUGUGAGCAUGAAGGAUGCAGCCGGUUCCCAUUAGUUUCCUUCCGCAAACAUCUUGUACAGAUUGUACAGCAAAGCAACAAGAAGAUGGUCAGUGUGACAAAGCUUUUAAGCGAUGGGUUCUUCAAGAGCCGUCUCAAAUAUUUUCAGAGCUCCGAACGAAAUUAAAAAUA